Molecule: ribosomal RNA, 465 nt
Filed under: uncultured Klebsiella sp.
Lineage: Bacteria; Pseudomonadati; Pseudomonadota; Gammaproteobacteria; Enterobacterales; Enterobacteriaceae
Description: bacterial SSU rRNA
Rfam family: Bacterial small subunit ribosomal RNA
Source: RNAcentral
CCUACGGGCGGCUGCAGUGGGGAAUAUUGCACAAUGGGCGCAAGCCUGAUGCAGCCAUGCCGCGUGUGUGAAGAAGGCCUUCGGGUUGUAAAGCACUUUCAGCGGGGAGGAAGGCGUUAAGGUUAAUAACCUUGUCGAUUGACGUUACCCGCAGAAGAAGCACCGGCUAACUCCGUGCCAGCAGCCGCGGUAAUACGGAGGGUGCAAGCGUUAAUCGGAAUUACUGGGCGUAAAGCGCACGCAGGUGGUCUGUCAAGUCGGAUGUGAAAUCCCCGGGCUCAACCUGGGAACUGCAUUCGAAACUGGCAGGCUAGAGUCUUGUAGAGGGGGGUAGAAUUCCAGGUGUAGCGGUGAAAUGCGUAGAGAUCUGGAGGAAUACCGGUGGCGAAGGCGGCCCCCUGGACAAAGACUGACGCUCAGGUGCGAAAGCGUGGGGAGCAAACAGGAUUAGAUACCCGUGUAGUC